This 497-nucleotide ribosomal RNA is filed under the name uncultured bacterium. RNAcentral's name for it is "partial 16S ribosomal RNA". It matches the Rfam family "Bacterial small subunit ribosomal RNA", at positions 28 to 507 of the family's 1533-position model. The record is from RNAcentral.
GAUGAACGCUGGCGGCGUGCCUAAUACAUGCAAGUCGAGCGAACAGACGAGGAGCUUGCUCCUCUGACGUUAGCGGCGGACGGGUGAGUAACACGUGGAUAACCUACCUAUAAGACUGGGAUAACUUCGGGAAACCGGAGCUAAUACCGGAUAAUAUAUUGAACCGCAUGGUUCAAUAGUGAAAGACGGUUUUGCUGUCACUUAUAGAUGGAUCCGCGCCGCAUUAGCUAGUUGGUAAGGUAACGGCUUACCAAGGCAACGAUGCGUAGCCGACCUGAGAGGGUGAUCGGCCACACUGGAACUGAGACACGGUCCAGACUCCUACGGGAGGCAGCAGUAGGGAAUCUUCCGCAAUGGGCGAAAGCUUGACGGAGCAACGCCGCGUGAGUGAUGAAGGUCUUCGGAUCGUAAAACUCUGUUAUUAGGGAAGAACAAAUGUGUGAGUAACUAUGCACGUCUUGACGGUACCUAAUCAGAAAGCCACGGCUAACUACGUG